UUAGUCGAUUAAUUCUACAAG
Caenorhabditis elegans is the source of this 21-nucleotide non-coding RNA. The record is from Ensembl. Lineage: Eukaryota; Metazoa; Nematoda; Chromadorea; Rhabditida; Rhabditidae.